GAUGAACGCUGGCGGCGUGCCUAAUACAUGCAAGUCGAGCGAACAGACGAGGAGCUUGCUCCUCUGACGUUAGCGGCGGACGGGUGAGUAACACGUGGAUAACCUACCUAUAAGACUGGGAUAACUUCGGGAAACCGGAGCUAAUACCGGAUAAUAUAUUGAACCGCAUGGUUCAAUAGUGAAAGACGGUUUUGCUGUCACUUAUAGAUGGAUCCGCGCCGCAGUAGCUAGUUGGUAAGGUAACGGCUUACCAAGGCAACGAUGCGUAGCCGACCUGAGAGGGUGAUCGGCCACACUGGAACUGAGACACGGUCCAGACUCCUACGGGAGGCAGCAGUAGGGAAUCUUCCGCAAUGGGCGAAAGCCUGACGGAGCAACGCCGCGUGAGUGAUGAAGGUCUUCGGAUCGUAAAACUCUGUUAUUAGGGAAGAACAAAUGUGUAAGUAACUAUGCACGUCUUGACGGUACCUAAUCAGAAAGCCACGGCUAACUACGUG
Molecule: ribosomal RNA, 497 nt
Filed under: uncultured bacterium
Lineage: Bacteria
Description: partial 16S ribosomal RNA
Rfam family: Bacterial small subunit ribosomal RNA
Source: RNAcentral